CAGAGGCUGAGAUAACAACAGAUCUGACCAGAGCAUCGUAAAACAAACUCUCUAUAAGCCUUCAUUCUAUUAGUUUAAUCGCCUCUGGUCACAAUGUUGUUUUAUGUGUUCUCAGAAUUCUCACCACCAUCGUAUCCUGUCUGAAGUCCAAGGCUGCUGACAGCACGCCAACAGACAGACUGAAGGAAACGAAACGAGACGCUAGCUGAAGGUGCUGACAGCUCCAGGAGAUGAAUUUCACACAUAAGAUACUUUAGAGUGCAUGUAGCAGCCUCUGAUACAUUCAGCUUCUACUCAGUUUGUACCCAAGGGCUGGAAGCUCAAAGGAGCCAGGAAGAGUCUUUCCUCUGACUUUGACAGAUUAUCCAACCACUUCUGGAGACUCCCUUCAGGUUAUCGCCUGACCUAAAACAGCCACAUCUUACAAGACCACUAAGCAUAUAUAAGCAUAUUGAGAAGAGGAGGCUGAGGGGAGACCUUAUUGCUCUCUACUACUACCUGAAAGGAAGAUGUAGAUAGGAGGGUGCUGGCCUCUUCCUCCAAGUGACAGGGGACAGGACAAGGGGGAAUGGCCUCAAGCUGCGCCAGGGGAGGGUCAGACUGGACAUCAGGGAAAAAAAUUUCACAGAAAGGGUCAUUGGGCACUGGCAGAGGCUGUCCAGGGAGGGGGUGGAGUCCCCAUCCCUGGAGAUAUUUAAAAGUUGGGUAGACGAGGUGCUCGGUGAUAUGGUUUAGUGGCAGAUCAGAAUGGUUGGAUUCCAUGAUGUAAGAGGUCUUUCCCAACCUAGUGAUUAUAUGAUUCUGUAUCAAUAAACUCUCACAGCCCUUGGACAGGUUAUCUCUUGACCUUAAACAGCUACAGAGAAUCAUAGAAUAGUUUGGGUUGGAAGGGAACUCAAAGAUCAUUCAGUUCUAACCUCCCUGCCCUGGGCAGGGACACCUCCCACUUGCUCAAAGCUCCAUCCAACCUGGCCUUGAAUGCCUCCAGGGAUGGGGCAGCCAAAACAUCCCUGGGCAACCUGGGCCAGUGCCUCACCACCCUCAUGGUGAAUAAAUUCUUCCUUAUGUCUAGCUUAAAUCUGCUUCUCUCCAGUUUAUACCCAUUACCCCUCAUCCUAUCACUACAAGCUUUUAUGAACAGUCCCUCUCCAGCUUUCCUUGAGCGCCUUUCAGGUACUGGAAGGUCACUAUAAGAUCUCCUCGGAGCAUUCUCUUCUCCAGGCUGAACAAGAGCUGAACAACAUCUUACAAGCCUCGUUCCUCGGGAGGAAAGACCAGCACAGCGCUGACUUCACCCUCCUUUUAAGGAGCAGCACAAAGCGAUGAGUUCCUUGGUAAGCAGCCACCUUCCGUCACACUCUGGUGUCAACACUUCCACGAUGGCAGAACAACUUCACCUGAUGAACAAAGGAAGUUCCAUGGAAGGCGUAACUGAUAGAGGGAACCUGCCAUUGACGGCUGCAGCUGAUAAAGGAAAUGCUGUGUCACGUUUUCAUGGAUCAAAUCAGAAGCAGAAGAAAUUGCAGUGUUCCUCUAAGAAUGUUUUCUCUGUUGGCUAUGAUGAAAGUCUCUUUAGUUCAUUAGUACCACCCUCUCUAACGAGGACUUGUCAUCACUGUGGUCUUUUUGGAUUCCUCAGAUGUUCACAAUGCAAGCAAGUGUACUAUUGUUCUGCAGAUUGUCAGAAGAAAGAUUGGCGAGCACAUAGUGUUGUAUGUGAGCCAGUUAAACAGAAUGUAAGUAAUAACAAUGGAGACAAACUACCUACUGAAACUGAGAAAAGAGUUUAUGUGAAGGGUGAUUCAGCUUCUGUGGAUUCUCUCAAGACAGAAGAGCACAAGAAAGUAAUGCUUUCAGAUCUCCAGAGUCUAGGGAUCAAAAAAGCUAUGGAAGUACAGGGCACAGUAACAGAGUUCAAGAGUCCAAGGGAAUUUUAUAUGCAGAUGAAUUCUCCAGAAGUUGUAGACCACUUCAGUAAACUUUCUGUGAAACUGCAAGACUGUUAUGCUAAUGCUGUUAUUAAAGAGCAAUAUGUUGCUAUCAAAGGGGAAGUCUGCAUUGCAAAGUGUUCUUCGGAUCAGACCUGGAACAGAGCACUGGUAAAAGACGUGGAUGUAUUGCAAAAGAAAGCACGAGUAUUCUAUAUAGAUUAUGGAAAUGAAGAAAAUAUUCCACUGUCCUGCAUUAAAGCUCUGCACAAAGACACUGAGCUGUUGUUUCCUCCAUGUGCCAUUAAGUGUUCCUUUGCUAAUUAUGAUCAAAAAAAAAAGGGAUGGAAUGAAGGCACCACCAGCUUUUCUUCCCAGCUCAUGGGAGAGCAAUGUUCAGUAAUUGUUGUUGACGUAUUACAGGAGGAAACGAUGCCGAGUUUUGCUGUAGAUGUUAUUCAUCCAAAUUUUGGCAACUGUCUAGAUAAAGUACCUUCAGAAAUGGGGUCUGAUUUAACUCCACGAAGUAAUGCCAAAGGACCAUGUUCUUCAGGAGCGUCAGAGAACCAUUCUAAGGGAGGUAAAGAAGAAAUUGCUCAAGAUGAAGACUUUCUUCGCUGUGCUAAUUCAGUUGCAGAGUGUGUCUCUGUACUUGUCGGAGACACAUUUUCUGGUGUGGUUCCGUCUGUUCAAAAUCCAGAAAACUUUUUCUGCCAGCGGAUGGACAGUGCCUGUCAACUUGCUGAGCUUCAAGCAUCUCUUAAAGCACACUGUGACAAAAUUCCCAGUAGUCCUGCUUUCCAUCCUGCUGCUGGAAACCUGUGCUGUGCCCAGUUCACAGAAGACAAUCUCUGGUACCGUGCUGCUGUUGUAGCAUACGUUUCUGAAGAUAAUGUUUUGGCAGGGUAUAUAGAUUAUGGUAAUUUUGAAGUUCUUCCAGUAACAAGACUGCGUCCUAUGAUUCCAAGAUUAAUGGACUUGCCAGCUCAAGCCAUAAGAUGUACCUUGGCAGGUGUAAAGCCGCCAUCAGAAGCCUGGACCUCAGAAGCUGUUUCUCUAAUGAAACGACUGGUGAAAGACAAAGUAUUCACAGUAAAAGUAGUGGAUAAGGAGAGUUACAGACUUGUGGUGGAGCUUAUAGAUGCAUCGGUUACUCCAGUAAUGAAUGUAUCGAACUAUCUCAUAGAGAAAGGCUGCGCAGUAGAGGAGUCAGGGAUGGCCUUGCCCGCAGUUGGGAUGAAUGAUGUUAAACAAGCAGAAGAGGACACAGCGAACAAAAAAAUUUUCAAGUGGAGUAAAUUAACUCUUAAACAAACAGUAGAUGUGGUAGUGUGCACAGUGUAUAGUCCUGGAGAAUUCUACUGUCAGAUGGUUCCAAAUGACAAUGAGUUAUUUGCUCUAAACUCACUUAACAAGUCAUUGUCUGAAUACUGUCAGAAUACUCCACCAAAUAUUUUUAAGCCGAAGCAUGGAGAAACUUGCUGUGCUUUUUUUCCUGAUGAUGGUAACUGGUACCGUGCUUUGGUGCGAAACAUGACUUCAAGUGGAACUGUUAAAGUAUUCUUUGUGGACUAUGGAAAUGUUGAGGAAGUACCACUGGAUAAAAUACGGCAGAUCUCAUCCUCAUUCCUGAAACUCCCAUUUCAAGGAAUUAAAUGCUUUCUCUCAGGUGUAAAUCCAGGCAAUAACAAGUGGAUUCCAGAAGCUACAGCGAGAUUUCGUGAGCUCAUUGCAGGGAUAACGCUUCAAGCCAGAGUAAAUUCCCUUUCCAGAGAUGGGGCAGGUGUAGAGCUUGUUGACAAUUCCACAGGUCAUCCAAAAGUGAUCAAUGAGAUAUUAGCUUCUGAAAAAUUGGCUGUAAAGGAAGUUCUGCCAGAUAAAAAUAACUUUCCAAACAAAUCUGUUAAUAAAAAAGAAACCUCGCCUGGGCACUGGAAGUCGAUUGAAUUUACUGUGGGUGAAACCGUACACAUCUGUGUAACAGAAGUUGUAAGUCCAGACUUAUUUUACGCUGUACCAGCUGAAAGUAAAGAUCAAGAGAAGCUGGGUAGGCAGUUGAUUGAACUAGAAGACUAUUGUCAAUCUUGUGAGAAACAGCUCUUCAAACCAAAAGUGGGUGAAGCCUGUUGUGCAAGGUUUUCAGGUGAUGGCCGUUGGUACAGAGCUCUUGUUCUGAAAGCUUCUCGGUCUGUAGUGGAUGUGCUGUAUGCAGACUAUGGCAGCACAGAAACUUUACCACUUUCAAAGGUGCUGCCAAUAACCGAUUCCUACUUGAAGCUGCCUUUUCAGACAAUUAUAUGUUCGCUUGCAGGAAUAGAGAAAGCUGACUGGUCCUCAUCAUUACUUGACAGGUUGAAAGAAAUGCUAUUGAAUAAAUACGUCACAAUUACAGUGAAAGAGAUUAAUGGCAACGUUAAUUCAGUAAUAGUGGAGAAGCCUUGUGAAAAUGGCAGUGUGAAUGUAGUUGACAAACUGGUAAUGGAAGGUUUGGUCAAAUCUUGCAGGGCUGAAAGCUUACAUACUGAACAUCAAGGUACAUACAGAAGUGACUUUUUCUUCCAAAAAUAUCAGAAUUCCACACUCUAUCUGUUAAAUUAGCAUCGUCUGUGUGCAUGUUGCUCAUCCACUUGCUUUGUUUUUUUGUAGGCAGUGGAGGUGAGACCAAAUGCUGCUGCGCAGAAUUAAAAAUGCAACUUAAAAAGCAUGAACAGAUCCUGCUCUUCCUUUUAAACAAGUACGGCAAUCCAGACGGGUUCACUGAAAUGAAGAAACUGUUGGAGCACUAAGUCUAAUGUGCACUGUGUUCUUUCUGUGUAUACCAGGUUGUUGCUGUUCCUUUUGAGGAAGAGCAAACUUAUUCACCUUUUGUAGAAAUUCUGCUGUUUAAGUACCUGUAUUUAUCUGCAUUCUGUGAAAUAAUUCUGUAACUUGAAGGAUUUCAAAGCUGCAAGUUGAAGUUUCAGUUCUGGUUUUGGUUUCUAUCACUGUGUGCUGCUAUGCCUUUUUGCUUUUAUUUUGCUGUUGAAGGCACAUAACUUUAUGGCGUGGCCAUUGCCUUGUGAAUCUGUUCUGCACACUUAACAUUGGAAAUGAGUGUAAUUGUAACCCUGACUACAACUUCUGGUACCGUUUAUUUUACUUGAAAAACAGUAUCUUAUCUCUAUUAGUUGUCCUUCAACUUAAUUUCUAGUCUGAAAUUAGACUGAAAAUUGUUCUUCAUAAACUUGGUUUUGAUAUAAUAAAGGCUGAAUAUUUUCUUGGACUACACACAAAAAACAGUAAACACUUAAAAGCACACAUUUAUUAACAUUUAAAUAUUACUCUGUAUUAUCUAUCUGUGAGUAUAGUUUUGCAGUAGAUUAUAGUAAAGCUGUUAUGUCUGUAGUUACACUACCAGGUUUUUUAACCCACUGAGUUUUUUCACAUCAUAAUGGAAAAGCCCCAUAUGACAAAAAUCACAUUAUUAACGUAUUUUCAGUAUUUCUCUAAAACACAGUUGAUACCUGCUUGUCACUUCUGACUAAUCCAGUCAUGAUAUUACUAACAAAUGCCAAAUUUUUGUUGAUAGUGCACAGUAGACACUUGUUUAUUGAAACUACAGGGUCAGCUUUUUUGUGUACAUGAAGCAUAUGUUUUGCUUUUGGGCUUGAGAUUAAACUUGCGAAAUAUUUUUGUUGGACUUCAUGUUUUAUUACACUUAAAUGGCUUCAGGUUACUUUUUUGUUGCAUCCUAUUCUGGUAGUUUCUGUUAAUUAGAUGAAUAUUUGCACUUGGGUCUCUAAAGAUCUUUUUAUGCCCUCAGUUUUGAACCAAGGCUGUGGCUGUCUCAAGUGUCCUCUGACUUCUGUGUGACUUGCGCAAGCUAUUGACCGUGUACAAAGCAACUCGCUGAUGCAUUAAUGCUCCCACAGCUCUUUUUCAUUUUUCCAUGUACCACCAGUUGUACACUGCAUUUCAUAAGAUGAGUUUGACUCCAACAUUCAAAAGUAGCCCCUUUCUCUACUCUUCAGUAGCAGGAGAAAGGAAAAGUGAAGCUUUGCUUGUUCUACUUGGGCAACAAGCCCUGGCAAGGAGUGGUUGGUGUUUCACUUGGAAGUGAAUGUAUGGG
This is an RNA transcript of Cuculus canorus (common cuckoo), 6036 nucleotides long. It is a transcript of the gene named tudor domain containing 1, with no coding region annotated. The transcript is spliced from 26 exons. NCBI's taxonomy places the organism in Eukaryota, Metazoa, Chordata, Aves, Cuculiformes, Cuculidae. The record is from RefSeq and is a predicted model, not a curated record.